AUACGGGAGGCAGCAGUGAGGAAUAUUGGUCAAUGGGCGCGAGCCUGAACCAGCCAUCCCGCGUGCAGGAAGAAGGCCCUAUGGGUUGUAAACUGCUUUUGCGCAUGAAGAACUGUAUCCUCGUGAGGGUAUUUGACGGUAAUGCGUGAAUAAGCACCGGCUAACUCCGUGCCAGCAGCCGCGGUAAUACGGAGGGUGCAAGCGUUAUCCGGAUUUAUUGGGUUUAAAGGGUGCGUAGGCGGCAUUUUAAGUCAGUGGUGAAAUCCUGCAGCUUAACUGUAGAUGUGCCAUUGAAACUGAAGUGCUUGAGUGAUCUUGAGGUAGGCGGAAUGUGUAGUGUAGCGGUGAAAUGCUUAGAUAUUACACAGAACACCCAUUGCGAAGGCAGCUUACUAAGGGUCUACUGACGCUGAUGCACGAAAGCGUGGGGAUCGAACAGGAUUAGAUACCCCGGUAGU
Molecule: ribosomal RNA, 458 nt
Filed under: uncultured bacterium
Lineage: Bacteria
Description: bacterial SSU rRNA
Rfam family: Bacterial small subunit ribosomal RNA
Source: RNAcentral